GUGCUUUGGCAGCACAUAUACUAAACUGGGAUAAUACAGAGAAGAUUCCCAUAGCCCCAGUGCAAGAAUGAGAUGUAAAUUUAUAAAACAUUCCAUAUUUGU
This is a small nuclear RNA of Dipodomys spectabilis (banner-tailed kangaroo rat), 102 nucleotides long. NCBI's taxonomy places the organism in Eukaryota, Metazoa, Chordata, Mammalia, Rodentia, Heteromyidae. The record is from RefSeq and is a predicted model, not a curated record.